AGAGGGAAAGAAAGGGAGGGGUUGGAGCAGCGAAAGUACGCACGCUGGGGGAGGAGGAGGAAACGGAGCAGCCGGUCACACCUUCCAGAGCUCCCGGGUCCUGGCCCGGGCUCCCCUGGUAGCCAGAGCUGGGGCUCAGGCAAGGAGUCGGGCACAGGUGGUAUCGGUAUGUUCCGAGAAGUCCACAGCACAAAAGACGGAGCUUUAGGGGGAAGCUGCGUUUCUCUUUCCUGCUUUUGGGAAAGGUUCGGUUAAUCAACAGCCGUGGCGUCGAGUGCCUGCCACGUGCAGACGCCGCGAGGCACGAAGCUGCGGUGCCACCCUGUCCCGGCCUCUGGGGCACUCAGCACCCCCCGGGGACGGCGUUGGUUAUUUUCCAUCUCCUAUGCUUCCUAGAAGUGUAUUCUGCACUGAACGGGCAGACCAGCUAUCGCUGAUGAACAUUUGAAGAAAUGAAGCUACUUACAUUGAGAUUUUUUUAAACAAAAAUGCAGAUUUGAAUAGUUAACAUUUUAGUUUCGCAAAUGAGAAAGUUUUGGAGAUUAGGGUCAAAAAAUGCGAAUGUCCUUAAACUCCUGAACUGUACACUUAAAAAGUGGCUAAGGUGGUGGGUGAGUUUUAGGUUACAGUAUAUGCAUCUUACUAGAGUGAAAAAAUUUAAGUGGAAUACUAGAAAUAUAGGACGACUGUGGCUUUUGAAACGUUAAAACAAGGUGGAAAACUAAUUUUCCAAUAUUAGUGUUCUUAUUGAUGUCGGCUAUUUGUGUUUUUUCAACACAAACUAAAUCACACUGCCUGAAACAACCUCUUACUCUGAAAGCAAGUGACAUGAAAAUAGAACUGCUGAGAAGACAUUUCCUCCUGCUGCAAUUUCGCCAAACAGCUGAGGCGAACUCGGUAAGCACACUGCACAGUGCUCGCUGAUACCUGUGAGGAGCCUGCUGCCGAGCUUAGGAAGAGCCUGUGCCCACAGGAAGCACCGGAGACGCUGGGCUCCCGCUCUGCAGGGGCUGAGGGGUCACUGGAUCGCGCAGCACGGAGGCUGCCCGCGGCUGAAGGGUCCCGCACGGGGGCGCCCAGGCAGGCUCAGCAGCGGAGGCCAGGCCUUCCCUUUGCACCGCGGCCCGAAGGGACAGGGCGGGGCGGCACCGUGCUGGGUGCGCUCAGCGUGGAGAAGAUGAACCCUGCGGCGCCCCCAGUUCCUCGUCUGCGCCCGCACGCGGGGAACAGAUCUGCCCCAAGGCCUCGGGCCGCGGUGUGCAGCACGCCCUCCCCGCCCGAUGGAGGAGGAGGAAAGAGACUUGAGAAGCUUCCACCAGGGCUGGCGUUUACACUGGGGUGAGAACCGAAAGGGGGCUGCCGUGCUGUGGAUCUGUGCAGGAGCCCAGCAAGGCUAAACACUGCUUUUCUACCAAAAGGACUGGACUGAAACAAGGAACAUUUCAAAGUGAAAGUCUUUUUUGAUAAAUGCUCACAUUUCUUAGAUCUGCCAACUGCGAGGGCCGCAGGAAGUACAAGGAAGCAGCUGUGUGCCGGCGCUUGCGAACAAACUCCUUCCUGCAGCCAGGGUAGUGUGUGCCCGGGUGAUGGUCUCUGCAGGGCAGUCCCUCUGUGUGACGGUCUCGGGAGGCAGGGAGGUGACAAAGGCGGUGGGCGACAGGAACCUCAGGGCGCGCCUUCGGAAGGAGGCUGCGGCUCAAGGCUGUUGGUCAGGUGGGAGAAGCCAGGAAAAGGCCCAAGUCCGUGGUUCAUGGGUUCAUGGGUUCAUGUUAUCAAAUUGAGGCUAAACCGGACUUCCCCGACGCUGCUGUACGCAAGCCGUGUCUGGAGUUCCAGGACGCGCACUUUUCACAUGUUGGUAAAUGGAAAUUGAUUUCAUCAAAACGGCUUAACUGAGCCUCCCCUGCCACGUUCAGAAAGCGUGCAGGGAGUUUGAAUAAAAACUGAGAAACCGGAAGGGCCAUGGCUGAGAGGCGAGGGGAUUCAUGUUUCACACUGUAGCGGGAAUCCGUGAGAGCCGAGGACCGCAACCCCCAGAUAGCCAGGAAGCCCAAAACGGAGGCUGCUGAGUCACAACCCUCCAGGGGUCUUACAGCAAACCUGCCAAGUCUCCCCGGCUGCCCGGGAGCUCUGAGAGCAUGACUGCAGGCCAUGGGCUCCUGCAGGGGCCCCACAUGGGCGCUAGGUGAGCACUGCACAGGCUGGACCUUAAAAGAGUAGUCGACUCCUCUAGGGUAGAGGUUGUAUUGCCUACACAGUGGCCCAAGCUCCCUUCUAAGCCCCUCAAAAACCCCUAGCUAAAGAACCCUUGUGGCUACCCUACUCUGCACCCCCAGUAAAGCUAGCCAGGAGCUUUAGUUUCUUCCCUUUAUAUCUUUUAAGUAAAUUUGUACCCUUACCCCUUCUGUCUGCACUUCCAUUUUUCGUCACCGUUGGACACAAUCCCUGCGUUCUGCAUACCUCAUAGUAGAGGAGAACUGUAACAAAUGCUUUGGUACAAAGUCGGUCUCUUCCCUGCAGUUACCUCUAAGGAAGGAGAAAAAAAUUCCCAGGCCAUUUCAGCAGGUAAAAUGCAUCUUCUGAGGAAUGUCACACCGUGCCGAGGGGCUGUCCCCGGGAACCAGCCAGGGCUCUGAGAAGUCCGGGAGACCCAGCCUCCUGCUCCUCUUCCCCCGGCCCAGCAGUGACGAGUCCUCCCCAGAGCACCGGUCAUCUGCUCCGUCCUCUCGGGUGGCCGGCAGGAGACCCUGGGUGGCGGCCGCUUUCUGCCCUGGAAAUCUGUAUCUAACAAACCCAGGAUGAACGUCUCCGAGACUCAAGCGCAGCCUGGACUGUGUGGUGGGGAGAGACGCUCGUGCAAGGCGAGCAGCAGGAGGUCUCCAGGCUUCUCUAAAUCUCGCGAGGAAACAGCCCAUCUGCCUGAGGCCCGUGGCGCGCUCUGCUGUGUCGUGGGGGGGGGGCAUGAAACGGGGUGCACGCAGCACUGGCCUCGGGCUCUAGAGCUGUCUUCACUUUGAAUGGCCCCGUGGGCUUUAAAUUUAUAAAACACGAUAAACUCUCGAGAGGGGAAAUUUCACAUAAAACCUAGACUUUUCAUAUUACAAACUAUAUGCCCCAUUCUAUUCUUACUUUUUAUGCAGUCACUAAUGAUAUACCAGUAUUUUGAAAUUUUAGCUGGAAUAUAGCUCUCUGCUUCAAAAUGAAACAAACCUGGAACCAGAAUUUAAGCUGAUGAAAGUAAUGGUCCAUCAGCUGGAAGCACUGGAAUCUGCCUGUAGUCCGGUUUGUCGGGAGGCUGAGACAGGAGCAGCCCUUGAGCCUUAGGAGUUCAAGGCCAGCCUGGGCAACAUGGAAUUGGGGGAGGGUUGUCAAUCAGCCCAGGGCUUUUUGCUCAGUUCGGAUGGAAAUCGUGAAUUGAGAAAAGUAGCUUGGCUAGCAGCCCUGAUGUCACCAGAUGACACCAGGUAGUGCUAAGUGACAACAGUGGAUAUAGUUGGCAACUGUAUUUCAUGAGAUUUUUUUCAAGUUUUUUUUUUCCCCCCCUAUGCCUAAUAAUGCUACCUCCGUUCAGGUACAUGUCUUUUGAUGUACCUGUGCUCUCCUAGAAUAUGCUCAUCUUUAGAGCUGGAGUACAAUGAAAGCACAAUAUUCUCCCAGCUGGAAGUAAAGAGUUCUCACUGCUCCAUAUCCUUGCCAACACUUGAAAUUGUCAGUCUUUAACUCUGGCGAUUCAGGAGGGUAGUAUCUUAUUGUGAGCUGAAUCUGGAUUUACAUGCUUAAGAUGCCAUUUGGGUACCUUUUGCAAAUCAAGAGUUCAGGUUCUAGACUCACUUUUUAUUAGAUUUUCAGUCUCUUACUGAUCUAUAGGACUACUUUACAUAUUUUGGAUGAGACUCUUGUGCCAGUUAUGUGUGUUAUAUAUAUCUACUCUGACUGGCCUCUUCACUUUAAUGGUUUCUUUUGAUAAAUUGAACUAAUUUAAAUUAAGAAUUUAUUAGUAUCUUCCUUUGUAGUUGCUGCUUUUUGCCAUCUGCUUAAAUCUUUCCCUACUCAAGGUCAUAAAUAUCACUUAUAAAAGUAUUUAACAUUCCUAUUUAAAGCUACAUUCUUAAAUUGUUUUUGUGGCUAGUAUAAGGUAUGCUUCAAUGUAUCGAAAUAUGACACAAUCCUAUUAAUAUUUACUUAAAAGCACUGAAAAUGUCUUCAAAUAAAAAAUUGCCAAUUUAAAAUUUCUUUCACAUGGCUACCACAAUGACCUAGUGCCAUUUACUUUUAAAUGUUGUUUGCUCCUUUUUCUGUGCUGGGCGUUGAAUCCAGGGCUUUCAUACUGAGCUACACCUCCAGUCCUUAUUAUUAUUAUUUUUUUUUUACUUUGAGACAGAUCUGAAGUCAUUAAUUUUCCCAGGCUAGGCUUGAACUUGCAGUCCUUUGGGAAGGUGAGGUGUAAGAGUGCUGAGAUUCCAGGGUUGUGCCACCGUGCCUGGCUCUACCCGUAUACUUAACAUUACGUUCUUUGCCAGAGAGCACACGCCCACACAGGAGGCUCCAGACUGGGACUCUGAUCUUUUCCACUGGUCUGUCUGCUGUUCCGGGCUCAGUAGUACUGCCUUAAUUCCGUCACUUUAGGGUGAGCCUCUAUAUUCAAAGUAUAGCUUCUCUUAUUAUUUUGUUCUUUAACAACGUCUUGGCUUUUCUUGGCCUUUCCUAUCUCUCAUAAAUUUAGAAUCAUAUAUUGUCAAUUUCUUUUUGAAACCCUGAGGGGACUUUUACUCAGUUGGAUGUAUUUUAGUAUUAGUUUUCAAUUGGCUUUUAUUUAUCUUCCCAGCCUGUUUGAUUUCUAUUUUGAUAAGGCAUUAUAAUAGUUUUAUUAUGGAUGACAAUAGCAGGAUUGCUAACUAUCAGAAAGCAGGGACAGUAUUUUAUAUACUUUUAAAAUGUUAAACAUGUCCUGCAAAAUGGAUCUUUCAGAUAAGGUUUGUAACUAGUAAUUGCAACAGAUAUGUUAGCAUGACCAUGCCAUCAAGAUUUGGGGGAUCAAUCUGGUGUUUUAUGGGAACAUCCAUGUCCCGGGAGAAACAGAUGGAACUUUGUCUCUGCAGAAACAACACUGGCAGCCUUUUCAAAUUGCAAUGAGCCCAGAUUUCUUAAAAAUAUUUUUGAAUGUUUUAGAUGACAAUCUCUAAAACUGAGACAAGCGAUAAGCAUUUUUUGUUGUUGGUACAGGGGGUUGAACUCGGAACCUUGCACUUUUGCAAGGCAGGCGCUGGAACCACUGAGCUAAAUCCACGGCCCAUAUUCUACAUUUUAAAUGUUGUAUUUUGGAUGACAGUCUUUAAAACUGAGAUAAGCAUAUCCUAAAUCUCCUAGAUGACCUUUUAAAAAAUAACCAAGCCAUGUAAUUUCUAUGCCCAGAAUUGCAAUAAGCCAGUGAUGCAUAAAUGUCUCUGUUUCCAAAGCAGAUGCCACUGAUUCCUCAGGUCCCUGUGGGCCUUGCAUCACCUGGCAAACGUGAAACAGCUGGCUGAGGGCUUUCCAUGGUCUCGUGUGAUAGGUCGGAAAGUACGGAGUCGCCCACUCACGUCUGAUAAUUAACGUUAUUAUUACUUGAAACCCGUGGAUUACCACACUAAAGUAAAGAUGCCUUCAUAAAAAUCUAUACUAAUAUCGCAAAUUUAUUAGUAUAAAAAAAUUCAAUUUCAUCUUAUGAGUGUGCUACCUUAGUUCAACAACCAGUCUCCAACGUGAGAGGCAGCUGCCUGGCACCGCCUUUCUGUGUGUCUAGACCACUGGCCACGGAGGUGGCGUCUCGUGGAACCUGACUGCUGGCUCAUCAUCCGGAGCGACAGAGGCGCCGAAGCCUGUUCCUCCGGCGAAGCCGCCCCGCACCCAAC
Heterocephalus glaber (naked mole-rat) is the source of this 5891-nucleotide long non-coding RNA. The record is from Ensembl. Lineage: Eukaryota; Metazoa; Chordata; Mammalia; Rodentia; Bathyergidae.